UACGUAGGGGGCGAGCGUUGUCCGGAUUUAUUGGGCGUAAAGAGCUCGUAGGCGGUUCGAUAAGUCAGGUGUAAAAACUCCAGGCUCAACUUGGAGAGGCCACCUGAUACUGUCGUGACUAGAGUCCGGUAGAGGAGCACGGAAUUCCUGGUGUAGCGGUGAAAUGCGCAGAUAUCAGGAGGAACACCAGCGGCGAAGGCGGUGCUCUGGGCCGGAACUGACGCUGAGGAGCGAAAGCGUGGGGAGCGAACCGG
This 254-nucleotide ribosomal RNA is filed under the name uncultured bacterium. Its description in RNAcentral is "partial 16S ribosomal RNA". It matches the Rfam family "Bacterial small subunit ribosomal RNA", at positions 524 to 776 of the family's 1533-position model. The record is from RNAcentral.